UUCUACUCAUUAUAAUCUGUGCCUGCUCCAGUUUAAUCGAAUUUUUUGGAAGACAUAUUUUGCCGGCCCUAAAUUGUCACUUGAUAUUUGUUUACAUUCCAUAUGAAAAUACAGCUGUCACUUGAUAUUAAUUUCAAAAAUGGAAAAACAAAAAAUAUAAGAAAAGAAUUGUGGCAGAGUAAAGUAAGUCCUAGGAAAAACAACCACAUAGUGGAGGAAAUGGCAAUGGAGUUGCAGCAACAAGGUUUGCAUUUCAUGGCGAGUGAAAUAAAAUCGAAAAUGCACAAUCUUUCACAGAGAUAUAGGAAAGAGAAGACAGCAGUCAGGUCAACUGGUGGUUCUUCCUCGCAGCGGCCACUUUAUGWUAAAAUGAGAGGCGUACUGUUGCCGUAGCAACGCCGAGAGCUUAGUGGAGGAAAGUAUUCAAUGAAAGAAGUUCUACUAACUUGGAACCAUUCCAAAUUUCGGUGGAAACGGCAACGUCUUCUACAUUUGUUGCUGCAUUUCCAUUGUCAUCACCGGUUUGUCUACCAUCGCCGUCAGCGAUGCCGAUAUCGCCAACCGAUACUUCUUCGCUACCAGUACCGUCUCCCGAGCCGAGUGAUUCUAUUAAAAAAAGAGGGAAUCAUUUUCAGAGCAUUAUAUUAAAAAAAUUUGAAAAAAUUUAAAAACACCUCGAGCAAGCAAGUCAGGAAUCCAUGGAAACCCGCAAAGAAAUUAAGGACUUGACAAAAAAAAAUGGUUGAAAAGACAAUAAACUGAAAUGAUGGAACAAUAUAUGAAAGACACUAAAGAAACAAAUGAACGAUUACUUCAGUUUCUAAGUAAUUAAAAAUAAUAAUAAUAAUGAAUMCACGUAUUAUCUGUUUGAUAAUAUACAUAUGUUUAAC
This is a long non-coding RNA of Bactrocera latifrons, 890 nucleotides long. RefSeq lists it as uncharacterized. The record is from RefSeq and is a predicted model, not a curated record. The transcript is spliced from 3 exons. NCBI's taxonomy places the organism in Eukaryota, Metazoa, Arthropoda, Insecta, Diptera, Tephritidae.